Molecule: ribosomal RNA, 488 nt
Filed under: uncultured bacterium
Lineage: Bacteria
Description: bacterial SSU rRNA
Rfam family: Bacterial small subunit ribosomal RNA
Source: RNAcentral
CAGGCCUAACACAUGCAAGUCGAGCGGAGUGAUGGUGCUUGCACCAUCACUUAGCGGCGAACGGGUGAGUAAUACCUAGGAAUCUGCCCAUUAGCGGGGGACAACGUGUGGAAACGCACGCUAAUACCGCAUACGCCCUACGGGGGAAAGCAGGGGACUCUUUGAGCCUUGCACUAAUGGAUGAGCCUAGGUCAGAUUAGCUAGUUGGUGGGGUAAAGGCCUACCAAGGCGACGAUCUGUAGCGGGUCUGAGAGGAUGAUCCGCCACACUGGAACUGAGACACGGUCCAGACUCCUACGGGAGGCAGCAGUGGGGAAUAUUGGACAAUGGGCGCAAGCCUGAUCCAGCCAUGCCGCGUGUGUGAAGAAGGCCUUUUGGUUGUAAAGCACUUUAAGCGAGGAGGAGGCUACUGGUACUAAUAUUACCAGCUAGUGGACGUUACUCGCAGAAUAAGCACCGGCUAACUCUGGGCCAGCAGCCGCGGUAAU